AGCUUAUUGGGUUUAUAUUAAGUGAAUUCUGCUCAAUGAUCUAUUUAAAUAGCCGCAGUACCUUGACUGUGCUAAGGUAGCAUAAUAAAUUGUCUUAUAAUUGAGGUCUAGAAUGAAUGGGAUUAUGGGUAAUAUCUAUCUAAAUUUAAUAAAAUUUAAUUUUUUUAAAUAAGUGAAAAUACUUAUGUGGUUAUGAAAGACGAGAAGACCCUAGAAAUUUUAAUUAACUGUAAUAAUAAAUAAUUAUAAAUAUUUUUGUUGGGGCGACAGAAUUACAAAAUUAACUUACUUUAAAUUUUUGUUAAUCUAAAAAAACUUUUUAAUUAAAUAUAAAUUACUCUAGGGAUAACAGCAUAAUUUAUUUAUAAGUUUGUGACCUCGAUGUUGGAUUAAGAAAUAUAUUUACUAAAAGUAUAUAUUAUUGGUUCUGUUCGAACUUAAUUUCUUACAUG
RNAcentral lists this ribosomal RNA (452 nucleotides) under Solaropsis sp. 3 MS-2014. RNAcentral describes it as "partial 16S ribosomal RNA". The record is from RNAcentral. Lineage: Eukaryota; Metazoa; Mollusca; Gastropoda; Stylommatophora; Solaropsidae.